Molecule: transfer RNA, 67 nt
Filed under: Emmelina monodactyla (morning-glory plume moth)
Lineage: Eukaryota; Metazoa; Arthropoda; Insecta; Lepidoptera; Pterophoridae
Description: tRNA-Asp
Source: RNAcentral
AAAGAAUUAGUUAAUUUAUAACAUAAAUAUGUCAAAUUUAAAUUAUUAUAGAAUAUAAUAUUCUUUU